Molecule: ribosomal RNA, 678 nt
Filed under: uncultured bacterium
Lineage: Bacteria
Description: bacterial SSU rRNA
Rfam family: Bacterial small subunit ribosomal RNA
Source: RNAcentral
CAUGCAAGUCGAGCGAAUCGAUGGGAGCUUGCUCCCUGAGAUUAGCGGCGGACGGGUGAGUAACACGUGGGCAACCUGCCUAUAAGACUGGGAUAACUUCGGGAAACCGGAGCUAAUACCGGAUACGUUCUUCUCUCGCAUGAGAGAAGAUGGAAAGACGGUUUACGCUGUCACUUAUAGAUGGGCCCGCGGCGCAUUAGCUAGUUGGUGAGGUAAUGGCUCACCAAGGCGACGAUGCGUAGCCGACCUGAGAGGGUGAUCGGCCACACUGGGACUGAGACACGGCCCAGACUCCUACGGGAGGCAGCAGUAGGGAAUCUUCCGCAAUGGACGAAAGUCUGACGGAGCAACGCCGCGUGAACGAAGAAGGCCUUCGGGUCGUAAAGUUCUGUUGUUAGGGAAGAACAAGUACCAGAGUAACUGCUGGUACCUUGACGGUACCUAACCAGAAAGCCACGGCUAACUACGUGCCAGCAGCCGCGGUAAUACGUAGGUGGCAAGCGUUGUCCGGAAUUAUUGGGCGUAAAGCGCGCGCAGGCGGUUCCUUAAGUCUGAUGUGAAAGCCCACGGCUCAACCGUGGAGGGUCAUUGGAAACUGGGGAACUUGAGUGCAGAAGAGGAGAGCGGAAUUCCACGUGUAGCGGUGAAAUGCGUAGAGAUGUGGAGGAACACCAGUGG